ACCUUCGGGCCUCUUGCCAUCGGAUGUGCCCAGAUGGGAUUAGCUAGUAGGUGGGGUAAAGGCUCACCUAGGCGACGAUCCCUAGCUGGUCUGAGAGGAUGACCAGCCACACUGGAACUGAGACACGGUCCAGACUCCUACGGGAGGCAGCAGUGGGGAAUAUUGCACAAUGGGCGCAAGCCUGAUGCAGCCAUGCCGCGUGUAUGAAGAAGGCCUUCGGGUUGUAAAGUACUUUCAGCGGGGAGGAAGGGAGUAAAGUUAAUACCUUUGCUCAUUGACGUUACCCGCAGAAGAAGCACCGGCUAACUCCGUGCCAGCAGCCGCGGUAAUACGGAGGGUGCAAGCGUUAAUCGGAAUUACUGGGCGUAAAGCGCACGCAGGCGGUUUGUUAAGUCAGAUGUGAAAUCCCCGGGCUCAAC
Molecule: ribosomal RNA, 419 nt
Filed under: Escherichia coli
Lineage: Bacteria; Pseudomonadati; Pseudomonadota; Gammaproteobacteria; Enterobacterales; Enterobacteriaceae
Description: bacterial SSU rRNA
Rfam family: Bacterial small subunit ribosomal RNA
Source: RNAcentral